Long non-coding RNA from Sinocyclocheilus rhinocerous, 1130 nucleotides. RefSeq lists it as uncharacterized. The record is from RefSeq and is a predicted model, not a curated record. The transcript is spliced from 5 exons. Lineage: Eukaryota; Metazoa; Chordata; Actinopteri; Cypriniformes; Cyprinidae.
UAAUCAGGCACAUUGAUUUGAAUAAUGAAAAAGGCCACUUUGUCAUUAAAUAUUGCCAAGAAUGUGGUCACCUUUUGUGUAUACCUUUUAGGGUUCAGUUGUUUCCAACCCUUCAUCUCUCUGUCUCAUCCUCCUCAUUACACUCAUCAGUAGUGUGUUUUUAUGACUGGGCUGGUUGGUGUGUACGCUUGUCUGUGAAAUGAUGAAUGGGCUGUGGGGUGUGUGUGUGUGAGAGAGUGAGAGAGAGAGAGAGAGAAAGGGAGGGAUGGAGAGACACUGCAUCGUGAAAUGAGAAGGAUUCACUCACUGGCUGCUCAUCUUCGCAGACAGAUAAGGAGAAGGCUGCUUGGGUAGAUUGGCAGAUUGUGUUUGAGGAGACACUCAGUCUGAGCUCAAGGCUAAAUCAUGGAUCAGAAGUCCACUUCACCCCAGAGACACACGGUGAAAAGCAGGUCGAAGUCUACAGAGGAAGUCCAGCAAGCUAAAAAGGCCUUCCACAUACCCCAGAAAUCACUGCCUGGAUGGUCAGAGUUGGAAAAGGUGAAGGAAGGACCAGAAGAGAAUGUCACUCCAGCAUCAUCCACAGAAGAGCUGAAGUGAUGCUGCCAUUAAUCUGUGUUUCUCUCUCACACAAACACACACAUAAAGAUAAAUGCUUGUUUUUUUUUAUAAACAAGGUUUGGUCUAGUUAAAGCAUUCGCUCUUCCUUUUGUUGGAUGAUUUUCAGUACAGCUCAACACACGCAGAAACACGAAACCCAUCGACCUGCAGCACAUUCAGUCUGUCUGUGCUGCAUCUCUGUACACUGUACACUGACAUGCUGUUUAUAUAAACUCAAUGCUUUCACUAUGAACAUCAGGGCAUGUGUGCUUUUACAUUUAAAGAAGCUCAAGCUAAAUUAGAUCAGUGGUCAGUGCAAUAUAAAAUUAUAGGCUCAAUGAAAUUCAAAUUUGGAACUUUGUGGCUUUUUAGUCUAUAGCUUUGAGCUCAUCCAUAGUGUAGAGUACACACAUUUAAAAUUUACAGCUUUUUCUUGGAAGAUAUAAAAAUGCUGAUGACUUUUCUUUUUUAGGUCCAUAUAUAAAUUUGUCCAAAUAAAUGCUCUCUAGAAAUGUAUGGCCCGGUUUCAC